This 435-nucleotide ribosomal RNA is filed under the name uncultured bacterium. RNAcentral describes it as "partial 16S ribosomal RNA". It matches the Rfam family "Bacterial small subunit ribosomal RNA", at positions 29 to 507 of the family's 1533-position model. The record is from RNAcentral.
AGCGAACGCUGGCGGCAGGCUUAACACAUGCAAGUCGAGCGGGCACUUUCGGGUGUCAGCGGCGGACGGGUGAGUAACGCGUGGGAACGUGCCCUCUGGUUCGGAAUAACUCAGGGAAACUUGAGCUAAUACCGGAUACGCCCUUUUGGGGAAAGGCUUGCUGCCGGAGGAUCGGCCCGCGUCUGAUUAGCUAGUUGGUGAGGUAACGGCUCACCAAAGCGACGAUCAGUAGCUGGUCUGAGAGGAUGAUCAGCCACACUGGGACUGAGACACGGCCCAGACUCCUACGGGAGGCAGCAGUGGGGAAUAUUGGACAAUGGGCGCAAGCCUGAUCCAGCCAUGCCGCGUGAGUGAUGAAGGCCUUAGGGUUGUAAAGCUCUUUUAUCCGGGACGAUAAUGACGGUACCGGAGGAAUAAGCCCCGGCUAACUUCGUG